UCUCAACAGGACGGAUCACUA
RNAcentral lists this microRNA (21 nucleotides) under Medicago truncatula (barrel medic). RNAcentral describes it as "mtr-miR2670e". The record is from miRBase by way of RNAcentral. Lineage: Eukaryota; Viridiplantae; Streptophyta; Magnoliopsida; Fabales; Fabaceae.